AUUGAACGCUGGCGGCAGGCCUAACACAUGCAAGUCGAGCGGAUGAAGGGAGCUUGCUCCUGGAUUCAGCGGCGGACGGGUGAGUAAUGCCUAGGAAUCUGCCUGGUAGUGGGGGCUAACGUCCGGAAACGGGCGCUAAUACCGCCUACGUCCUGCGGGAGAAAGUGGGGGAUCUUCGGACCUCACGCUAUCAGAUGAGCCUAGGUCGGAUUAGCUAGUUGGUGGGGUAAAGGCCUACCAAGGCGACGAUCCGUAACUGGUCUGAGAGGAUGAUCAGUCACACUGGAACUGAGACACGGUCCAGACUCCUACGGGAGGCAGCAGUGGGGAAUAUUGGACGAUGGGCGAAAGCCUGAUCCAGCCAUGCCGCGUGUGUGAAGAAGGUCUUCGGAUUGUAAAGCACUUUAAGUUGGGAGGAAGGGCAGUAAGUUAAUACCUUGCUGUUUUGACGUUACCAACAGAAUAAGCACCGGCUAACUUCGUG
RNAcentral lists this ribosomal RNA (484 nucleotides) under uncultured bacterium. RNAcentral describes it as "partial 16S ribosomal RNA". It matches the Rfam family "Bacterial small subunit ribosomal RNA", at positions 30 to 507 of the family's 1533-position model. The record is from RNAcentral.